CGUUGCCUGCGGUGUUCGAUACUGUAUCGGAAUUUUCUUGGCCUAUGCUUAACCCUGUUGGGUGCAUUACAUCGGUGUUGUGUGCAUGUCCGCGCUGCGGAAAGCCUGAUAUGCCGGUCGUUGUUCCCACUUUAUCGCUCCGGUCCCAAGAGCGACGAUGCAACCGGCACAUGUGGGUAACGU
Molecule: non-coding RNA, 183 nt
Filed under: Gammaproteobacteria bacterium
Lineage: Bacteria; Pseudomonadati; Pseudomonadota; Gammaproteobacteria
Description: 6S RNA
Rfam family: 6S / SsrS RNA
About the family: E. coli 6S RNA was the first non coding RNA to be sequenced, but its function was unknown until recently. It consists of 184 nucleotides that fold into an extended hairpin structure with a large single-stranded internal bulge.
Source: RNAcentral